AUUAGAUACCCUAUUAUUUUAAUUGUAAAAUUUAAUUAAACUAAAGUAUUAAUAGAUAAAUCUUUAAACUUAAAGAAUUUGGCGGUAUUGUAGUCUUUUUAGAGGAAUCUGUUAUGUAAUCGAUAAUCCACGUUGAAUCUUACUUAUAUUAAUUAUUUCUUGUAUACCGCUGUUUAUGAAUAUAUUAUAAGAUGAUUUUCUGAAUAUUAAAUUAAUUAAUAUUUCAAGUCAAGGUGCAGUAAUAUAUAAGUUGAAUAAUGGAUUACAAUAAAAUUUAUUUAAAACGGAGGAAUUAUUGAAAUGUAAUUUAAAGGUGGAUUUAAAUGUAAUAUUAUGAAGAUUAUUAUUAUGAUUAUUAGCUCUAUAAUAUGUACACAUCGCCCG
Molecule: ribosomal RNA, 384 nt
Filed under: Parasphendale sp. MN195
Lineage: Eukaryota; Metazoa; Arthropoda; Insecta; Mantodea; Mantidae
Description: partial 12S ribosomal RNA
Source: RNAcentral